UACGUAGGGUGCAAGCGUUAAUCGGAAUUACUGGGCGUAAAGCGUGCGCAGGCGGUUUUGUAAGUUUGUCGUGAAAUCCCCGGGCUCAACCUGGGAAUUGCAUUCGAAACUGCGAGGCUAGGGUACGGAAGAGGGAAGCGGAAUUUCUGGUGUAGCGGUGAAAUGCGUAGAUAUCAGAAGGAACAUCAGUGGCGAAAGCGGCUUCCUGGUCCAGUACCGACGUUCAGGCACGAAAGCGUGGGGAGCAAACAGG
Molecule: ribosomal RNA, 253 nt
Filed under: uncultured bacterium
Lineage: Bacteria
Description: partial 16S ribosomal RNA
Rfam family: Bacterial small subunit ribosomal RNA
Source: RNAcentral